UGGGGAAUCUUGCACAAUGGGGGAAACCCUGAUGCAGCGACGCCGCGUGAGUGAUGAAGCCCUUCGGGGUGUAAAGCUCUUUCGGCAGGGACGAUAAUGACGGUACCUGCAGAAGAAGCUGCGGCUAACUACGUGCCAGCAGCCGCGGUAAUACGUAGGCAGCAAGCGUUGUUCGGAAUUACUGGGCGUAAAGAGUGCGUAGGCGGUUUGGCAAGUUUGGUGUGAAAUCUCCUGGCUUAACUGGGAGGGUGCGCCGAAAACUGUCAGGCUAGAGUGUGGGAGAGGAAAGCGGAAUUCCUGGUGUAGCGGUGAAAUGCGUAGAUAUCAGGAGGAACAUCUGCGGUGUAGACGGCUUUCUGGACCACUACUGACGCUGAGGCACGAAAGCGUGGGGAGCAAACAGGAUUAGAUACCCUGGUAGUCCACGCCCUAAACGAUGCGGACUUGGUGUUGGCCCUUCAUUGGGUCAGUGCCGCAGUUAACGCGGUAAGUCCGCCGCCUGGGGAGUACGGUCGC
This 516-nucleotide ribosomal RNA is filed under the name uncultured bacterium. RNAcentral's name for it is "partial 16S ribosomal RNA". It matches the Rfam family "Bacterial small subunit ribosomal RNA", at positions 355 to 889 of the family's 1533-position model. The record is from RNAcentral.